Molecule: ribosomal RNA, 490 nt
Filed under: uncultured bacterium
Lineage: Bacteria
Description: partial 16S ribosomal RNA
Rfam family: Bacterial small subunit ribosomal RNA
Source: RNAcentral
AUUGAACGCUGGCGGCAGGCCUAACACAUGCAAGUCGAACGGUAACAGGAAGAAGCUUGCUUCUUUGCUGACGAGUGGCGGACGGGUGAGUAAUGUCUGGGAAACUGCCUGAUGGAGGGGGAUAACUACUGGAAACAGUAGCUAAUACCGCAUAACGUCGCAAGACCAAAGAGGGGGACCUUCGGGCCUCUUGCCAUCGGAUGUGCCCAGAUGGGAUUAGCUAGUAGGUGGGGUAACGGCUCACCUAGGCGACGAUCCCUAGCUGGUCUGAGAGGAUGACCAGCCACACUGGAACUGAGACACGGUCCAGACUCCUACGGGAGGCAGCAGUGGGGAAUAUUGCACAAUGGGCGCAAGGCUGAUGCAGCCAUGCCGCGUGGAUGAAGAAGGCCUUCGGGUUGUAAAGUACUUUCAGCGGGGAGGAAGGGAGUAAAGUUAAUACCUUUACUCAUUGACGUUACCCGCAGAAGAAGCACCGGCUAACUCCGUG